This 540-nucleotide ribosomal RNA is filed under the name uncultured archaeon. Its description in RNAcentral is "bacterial SSU rRNA". It matches the Rfam family "Archaeal small subunit ribosomal RNA", at positions 333 to 873 of the family's 1478-position model. The record is from RNAcentral.
CAGCAGGCGCGAAAACUUUACAAUGCCGGCAACGGCGAUAAGGGAACCUCGAGUGCCAGGUUACAAAUCUGGCUGUCGUGAUGCCUAAAAAGCAUUGCAUAGCAAGGGCCGGGCAAGACCGGUGCCAGCCGCCGCGGUAACACCGGCGGCUCGAGUGGUAACCGUUAUUAUUGGGUCUAAAGGGUCUGUAGCCGGCCGGGUAAGUCUCUUGGGAAAUCUGGCAGCUUAACUGUCAGGCUUUCAGGAGAUACUGCCUGGCUCGAGGCCGGGAGAGGUGAGAGGUACUUCAGGGGUAGGGGCGAAAUCUUGUAAUCCUUGAAGGACCACCAGUGGCGAAGGCGUCUCACCAGAACGGACCUGACGGCAAGGGACGAAAGCUAGGGGCACGAACCGGAUUAGAUACCCGGGUAGUCCUAGCCGUAAACGAUACUCGCUAGGUGUCGGCCACGGUGCGACCGUGGUCGGUGCCGUAGGGAAGCCGUGAAGCGAGCCACCUGGGAAGUACGGCCGCAAGGCUGAAACUUAAAGGAAUUGGCGGGG